CUCUGCCGGUGCUGCUCCCGCGCCCUCUGCCGCUGCCCCCCCAGGCCGUGUUCACCCGGCGGGGCGGGGGCAGGGGGGCGCCUCAGGGCUUUCAGUCCGGUCUGUGCCCUGGGUGGAUGGCCCGCGUGGCGCCUCGCGGCCAGGCGGGCCCAGACAGGCUGGGAGCUGUGGGGUCUGCCCGCUGCCCUCUGUGCACGACCGUGUGGCCGCAGGCAGGGCCGUUGGACUCAGGCGCCUGGCGGGAGCUGGGCCCAGCCGCCCGGCGUGGCCCUUCCGUGGUGUUGGUCCCGAGGACAGUCUGUGCGGCCUCUUCGCCUUGUGGGCUCGGCCUGGCAGCGGGCGUUCCCCGUGUGCGGCUGUGGCGGUCGCUGCAGGAGGCUCUGCUGACCACAGUCUUGCCGUGUCGGACCUGAGGCCGGUCCCCGCCCCCUCACCAGGCGUGGGAACGGUCCCGCACUUGCCCAGGCCACGGGCCGGAUGGACAGGGCCCCCUCCCGCAGCCCCGCUCCCCCCGCCCGCACCUUGUCUUCGCCCACAUCUCUGCAGGACCCCCUGGCCCUUUCGGGACCCCCUCAGCAUCGCAGAUGGCAGCAGUGGCCCGGGCCUCGGGAGUCGGGGGCUGAGAGUCCUGGCUGCCGGUGGCGAGCGGCCGUACAGCCCUCCCCUGUGCCACCCAGAGCGCCCAGCCGCCCCCUUCCUUCGCAUGGUCCCUUUGGCUGGUGUUGAUGGCUCGGGUAGAGCUAGAGGCAUCGGACUCAGAGGAAGGACCAGCUGGACCAAAGGCGCACUCUGGGUAGAGGGGUGGGUUCCAGGAGGCCCUGGGCCCUUCAGCGUGUUUGCCCGCGGCCAGGCCACGGAAGCCCUGGGAGGGCGCUCCUGCCUGGCCUGUGCGUGACACUGCCGGGUUUCUGCAGAACGAGCCGAGGGAACAGCCAGUGGGAAGGACGGGGUGGGGGCCGCACGCAGGGAGGUCAGACGCACCUGAAGUCACUGGCGGCAUCGGCGGCGUCCCCUGNCCCCCCCCCCCCCCCCCCGCCGCCGCCGCCGUGGCCCGAGCACUCCAGGAGCCGUGCUGGGGGAGGCCCCGUUUUGUUGGGGGUUUUGUGCGGGAGGAUGAUCACGGAGGUGUCCAGUGAGGGAGGUGCGCCCUGAUACUGAGCUAGAAGGGCCCCGGGCUUGGGCUGCUGGGAGGGUUAGGAAAUGCACUGUCUCACCGCCCAGGACGGGGAGGAGGCCCCAUGCAGGGCGGUCUUCACUGCCAGUUCCCGUCCAGCAGCAGGAGUCCAGCCCGAGGGGGAGGCAGCCAGUCUUCCUGCUGUCUCUGGAAAUAACUAGGAAGUGAGUUGUUUGCCCCGAACGGCCAAGAACCCAGCUCAAAGCUUCGGGCAGGAAGCCGCCCCUGCACCGUGUCUGUGCUCUUGCUUUGUGUCCAGAAGCACUGAGGCCCGUGGCACACGCCAGUGGUCCCCUGCCGGGGGUCUUUCGGUUCUAGAAUCUUACGGAUCGUCUCCUAGAAACAUGACGCUCCCUGGAGGCCCGGGUGGCGUGGGAAGGAGGGGCAGGUCUGGGUCGAACCCGUCCCCUGUGGGGUUUGUAAAAAUGAGAUAAGUGGUGAGUGAUGACAGCAGCCCUCAAGCCGAUGCUGAUGCUGCCCCGAGGCCCAGGCCCCCGGGAGCUGAGCCCGGGUCUGGACCACCCCCCGCCUGACCCAACCCGAAGCGUGUCCUCUCUGGGGUCCGGGGCAGAAGCCUUUCCCAGGGGUCUACUGUCCACACUCGCAGGCCGCCUCCUGGCUGGAGACCAAGGUCCCCGGGUGCCCUUUGCCCGCGUGGUUGUCUGUUCUCUGGGGAGCAGUGUCGUGUCUGGAGGGGUGCAGCCGCGCCUGUGCUCGGCAAGGACAGCUCUCUGCCUGUCGUGGUGGGGACAGGCGUGCUGUGGGCCUCACGCUAGGUGGCCCGCCGUGGCCAGGGCUGGGGGACCCGAGGGUGGGUGGGGACAGGGCUGUGCACGUCUCUGUUUGUGCGUGGUGACUGGUUCCCGGGCCUUCGGGCCUUACCCUGCUUCCCGCUGCUUUCGCUGUGAGCCCUCCCGCUUCUCUGGUCAGUCGAGUGGGACCGCUGGGCAAAGCCUGGGCGCGCUGGGCGGGGCGGGCGGCGUGUCCACACCGCUGGCCGGGGAGCCCGUCCGGGGCGGCCUGGUCAGCAUCUGGAGGGAGUGCGCCCGGGAGAGCCCUGCCUGUCCUGGCUCAGUGCGUGCGCCCGGGGGGCAGCUUGGAGGCUGUGGCAACGGGCCUGAUCGCAUUCCUCUGGCGGCUUCUGAGCUGUGAACUCUGUGACCCGGGACUCACCUGUUGCGCUCCUCCUCCUGUGGAAUUGGCAGCCAGCUCCGUUUCCUCCUGUCGUUUCAAGCACGGUUGGCGUCGUCUGCUGUAGGUGUGGGCGUAGUGUGGGUGUAGUGUGUGUACAUAUGUGUAUAUGUAUAUAUCACGCAGCAGGCGUGACUGCUGCUAUCCAGUGGCGAAGCAACAAGUACAAUAAAAAUCGGCUCCAAA
This 2551-nucleotide long non-coding RNA is filed under the name Sus scrofa (pig). RNAcentral describes it as "lncRNA (ENSSSCG00045027884.1)". The record is from RNAcentral. Lineage: Eukaryota; Metazoa; Chordata; Mammalia; Artiodactyla; Suidae.